CUUAAGGCAGUUGAUGCAGGUGUUUGCCAUAGGCAAAUGACGUCUGGAGCUGACAGACUGAUCAUGCAGGAAAUCAAUUGAUGGUUGAGGGGAGAAGCCAACUGGAGGGAUGACACUUGCACCUGUUACCUGUUAGCUUUGAUGGUCCCUCUUUCUCUAACACACACAAAAACAAGCAAGCACACACCAAAGAGAACAAUGAGAGUUUACAGCAAUUAUACCAGUAAAAGGUAAAAGUACCAUAUAGAAAGCUCCAAAAAAAGGAAUGAAAGACAAAGAAACAGAAAAAGGAAAGCACCAGAUAAAAAGGAGACUCUGUGGGCCACCUGAAACAUGAGAAUAUCUUGAAGCAGCAGGUCUCUGUAUUCAAUGGAUUUCACUGGCCUGAGACACCCAGCAUUUGCCAGGUAGGUCUGUAUCGCCCUGUCUUCCAAGACAGGCUUUAUGGAGGAAUUGCACCCAACUAGACGAGAAAACAGCAUUGGUGCAAUGAAUCCUGGUGGAGGACCGCCAUGGACAAGACUUAUAUCAAUGGCCCGGCCAGCAUCAAAGUAUUGAAUAUUAUAAUAUUUUGCAUUCUUAGCUUAAAGACAAUGUAUUUGCCUAUACUUUAUUUACUUUAUUACCAAUUCAUGUAGAAAACCAGAUAAUUCUGAGUUCACUGACUUUCUUACCACUGUAUCUGAAAUGACUGCACUGAUUAAA
Micropterus salmoides (largemouth bass) is the source of this 705-nucleotide long non-coding RNA. RefSeq lists it as uncharacterized. The record is from RefSeq and is a predicted model, not a curated record. The transcript has 3 exons. NCBI's taxonomy places the organism in Eukaryota, Metazoa, Chordata, Actinopteri, Centrarchiformes, Centrarchidae.